This is an RNA transcript of Xenopus laevis (African clawed frog), 2249 nucleotides long. It is a transcript of the gene named WD repeat-containing protein 91-like, with no coding region annotated. The transcript has 8 exons. Lineage: Eukaryota; Metazoa; Chordata; Amphibia; Anura; Pipidae. The record is from RefSeq and is a predicted model, not a curated record.
ACUGUGAAUAGGCAGAGGAGGAAGGGGUGGUCAUUGGCAGGAACGGGUGGGUGGCAGCAGAACUGUGAAGAGAACACCCCCAAAGAGUGCAAAAUGGUCUGGCAGUGAAAGGGUUAAAGCCCAACACACUGGCAGUUAUUGCAGGGAGGGCAUAUAAGGACCAGCGCAGAUUAGUGUCUCCCCGGGUGGAGAGAGAAUGAUGCAAAGUCAGUGUCUGUUCUGCAAGUGGAUCUGGACACAAUCAAACAGGAGGUUUCCUGAAACUGUCAGUCGCAGCACUGCCAGCUGAUUGGCUCACGUCUCUGCAAGGGAAUAAAACUGCUGCUCUGAUCCGUGCAAACGAAACAACUCUCAGCCUGAACAGCUGGACAGAGCACCGAAAAGAAGACAGAGAGUUUAGACCUUGAUCCGGAUUCGCGUUCGGAUGCACAAAAUGAGCCGGUGGAUUCAGUGAGCAGAGGUUCUGGGGGAAGCAGCGCAAGGAAAGAGGAGAAAUCAUCACAACCAUUCAUUGUGCUGAGCCAGGACGAGUAUGCGGAGCACCAUUCCUCCAUCAUGCACUGCAGGGUCGACUGCUCCGGGUGCCGGGUGGCUAGUGUGGAUGUUGACGGGGUGAUUAAAAUCUGGUCUAUUGAUGGCAUCAUGCAGACAAAAGCUUCCGCCAUCUCCAAGUCGGCUCUGCUCUCCCUGGAAUGGACGACAAAGAGAGACAGACUGAGCCUUCCCUAUCUGUUCCUCCUCCUCUCUGGACUACCAGCCAGCUGAAGAUUCCAGGGCAACUGUUCUAUACACUGCUGCCUAGCAACGCUGGAAUUCCCACAUUGUGUUCCAAGCCUCACUAUGGCCUGGUUGGUUGAUAUCAGUAAGCCCCGCCCAUCGCCGAGGAGCAGGAGCUGCACGUGGAGCAGGUGAGGGGGAGGUGGCUGUAAAGUUGCAGAUGGGAAUAUUGGGGACAAGAGAAGAUAUUGGAGGACACAGAAGGGAUUUUCGGGUGCAGGAGAAGAUUCUUUUUCGGGGUCUCAGCCAGAGAAGAACAAGUGACAUUGGUAUAAAACAUCCCAACACUCUUCGUUCUCAGUUUGGAGCGGGACCUCUUGGAACUGCGUUAUAGAAUGAAAGAAAAUUGCUCCCUGCCAAUGUAUAACCUUGAUGACGCUCCUGACCCAGUUGCCAAGGAUCAAGUAGUCUGAGUCAGAUUUGCUAUUAAACUCCAUGGAUCGCAGUGACGCCAAACUCAAUGGGCAGUUGGAAGCCUCGUUCCCCCGCUGUUUCCGUCAUGGCUAAAGUUACUGAUCAACUCGCAGUUCAAGAGUGGUCGAUGCCCGAGGAGGGCCCAACCUGAAAGCAAUGAGGAUACGUCCCAAAAAGAUCCGACCCUUUGCCUCGCGAAGGCAUCAAAGCAAGCAGGUGGCGGAGCUGAAGAGCGGUAUCUCAAGUCUAUACUGUGGAGCAUCGAGCACCUCCCCAGAGCAUUCCUCGUCCUGCAGCAAUCACUCCCAUACUGACACCGACACUGAACUCUGCAUCCAGCACCGACUCCGGCUUCUCUUUCCUACACCCCGCCUACUGGAAAAGUGACUACAGUUUGACGUUGCAGCAGCUAUCUGGUUGCUAGGGUAUUGCUUACCCUUAACAACCGCCCAUCGGUUUUAAUGAGUGGCUGGAAGGUGAAUAGGGACAAUGACCAUUUAGCCUCACAAAGCUGCUGGGGUCGGUGACCCCCGUUGGGACUCUGAUAAGAAGCAGAAGACCAGUUAAAAGGUUGCUAAGAAGAGGACUUUCUAUAACAUACUUAUGGUUAAUGUAAAGCAGCACUGGCCCUUUAAAGAAGUGGAUCCCAUGGGGCAGACUGUAAUAUGUGUAAUAUUAAAUGCAUGGGGUUUACUGUACACACCACGUUGUGCCUCAAUAUGCAGAGGGUGCCUCUAAAUAAAGGGGGGGGAGCCUUUGUUAGCAUUUAUUAAGCUAUUAUUUAUACUUCCCCUUUAUCCUGUGAACCCAAAUCCUCCUCAUUAGGGUUGGACUCAGUGUGUAUAUACAGUAUAUUCAGGCAGCUAUUAAUACUUCUGGAUACUGGAAGUAUCGGAGAUUUCUUUGGGGUGUAUGAGACCCCCCUGAAUCUUUUAACCGUCUAAUCUCCGUGUGAGAUUUGUGACGCUCAUGUUUGUACAUGGAUGUUUUAUAAUGAAGAUUUUGUACCUCUGUCUAGGGAAUAUUAUUCUUUCUACAAUAAACUUUACAUACUUGUA